CGGAGGAUCCAAGCGUUAUCCGGAAUCAUUGGGUUUAAAGGGUCCGUAGGCGGUUUAAUAAGUCAGUGGUGAAAGCCUAUCGCUUAACGAUAGAACGGCCAUUGAUACUGUUAGACUUGAAUUAGUGGGAAGUAACUAGAAUAUGUAGUGUAGCGGUGAAAUGCUUAGAUAUUACAUGGAAUACCAAUUGCGAAGGCAGGUUACUAUCACUAUAUUGACGCUGAUGGACGAAAGCGUGGGGAGCGAACAGGAUUAGAUACCCUGGUAGUCCACGCCGUAAACGAUGGAUACUAGCUGUUCGGAGCAAUCUGAGUGGCUAAGCGAAAGUGAUAAGUAUCCCACCUGGGGAGUACGUUCGCAAGAAUG
This 366-nucleotide ribosomal RNA is filed under the name uncultured organism. RNAcentral describes it as "bacterial SSU rRNA". It matches the Rfam family "Bacterial small subunit ribosomal RNA", at positions 526 to 896 of the family's 1533-position model. The record is from RNAcentral.